GAUGAAGAACGUAGCGAAAUGCGAUAAGUAAUGUGAAUUGCAGAAUUCAGUGAAUCAUCGAAUCUUUGAACGCACCUUGCGCCCUUUGGCCAUUCCGAAGGGCAUGCCUGUUUGAGUAUCAUGAACACCUCAACUCUUCAUGGUUUUCCAUGAUGAGCUUGGACUUUGGGGGUCUUGCUGGCCUGUGGGUCGGCUCCUCUCAAAUGAAUCAGCUUGCCGGUUUUUGGUGGGCAUCACAGGUGUGAUAACUAUCUACGCUUGUGGUUUUCCACCAGGGUAACCUUCAGCAGUGGAGGUUCACUGGAGCUUACAAAUGUCUCUUCUCUGUGAGGACAGCCCUUUGAAUGUUUGAUCUCAAAUCAGGUAGGACUACCCGCUGAACUUAAGCAUAUCAAUAAGCGGAGGA
RNAcentral lists this unclassified non-coding RNA (406 nucleotides) under soil metagenome. Its description in RNAcentral is "partial contains 5.8S ribosomal RNA, internal transcribed spacer 2, and large subunit ribosomal RNA". The stretch from base 1 to 121 matches the Rfam family "5.8S ribosomal RNA", at positions 35 to 154 of the family's 154-position model. The record is from RNAcentral.